RNAcentral lists this ribosomal RNA (525 nucleotides) under Elaterinae sp. UPOL RK0203. RNAcentral's name for it is "partial 16S ribosomal RNA". It matches the Rfam family "Archaeal large subunit ribosomal RNA", at positions 1918 to 2679 of the family's 2987-position model. Lineage: Eukaryota; Metazoa; Arthropoda; Insecta; Coleoptera; Elateridae. The record is from RNAcentral.
CAUGUCUUUUUGAUUUUAGUUUAAGGUUUGGCCUGCUCAAUGAUUAUUUAAAUUGCCGCGGUAUUUUGACCGUGCAAAGGUAGCAUAAUAAUUAGUUUUUUUAUUGAAAGCUGGAAUGAAUGGCUGGACGAGAAAGCUGCUGUCUCUUUAUAAUUUUUUUUUGAAUUUAACUUUUGAGUUAAAAGGCUCAAUUGAGCAUUAAAGACGAGAAGACCCUAUAGAGUUUAAUUGAUUAUUUAAUAUGAUUUUCUUUUGGUAUUUUAUAUUAUAUUAUUAUAAUUUAUUUGGUUGGGGUGACUUAAAGAUUAAAUUAACUCUUUUAUUUAAGUAUCAAUGAUUUUUGAUUACUAAAUCUGAAUUUUUCAAAUUUAAGAUAAAUUACCUUAGGGAUAACAGCGUAAUUUUUCUUUAGAGUUCUUAUUGAAAGAAAAGUUUGCGACCUCGAUGUUGGAUUAAAAUUUAUUUUUGGUGCAGAAGCUUUAAAAUUAAGUCUGUUCGACUUUUAAAAUUUUACAUGAUCUGAGU